Molecule: long non-coding RNA, 514 nt
Filed under: Homo sapiens (human)
Lineage: Eukaryota; Metazoa; Chordata; Mammalia; Primates; Hominidae
Description: HSALNT0181700
Source: RNAcentral
CUUGAGCGAUGUAUUUAAGAGGUCAUUCUUUCAAUAUUCUGAUGGCAAAAAUCUUUUGCUAGGUUCGGUUAUGGUUAUAAUCCAUUCUCUUGAAGAAAUAAAAGCAAGUUUAACCUUCCUGACCAAGAAAACUUCAUUGACUCCAAGUAAGCCUGGAAGCAGCUGCGGAAUGACACUUUGCUAGUUGAAGAAGAUGAUUAUCUUCUGUGACUAUCUUGAUGACUAAAAAUCUCAGUCUUGGCCACUCCGAAGCUAUCCCCAAGCUCAUGGCCCACACGUUCAAAGCCACCACCAGUUACUAGAGCGUAUUUUAUUUCUGUCUUUUGGGGAGGACACUGAAAAGCAGCCUUGGGAAGGUUGAAAAGCAAUCAGAUUCCAAGGAAACUAGGUUUAUAUAUGUGGUGUUAUGAAAUCUUGCAGCCAGCUUGCACUGGCAAGCUUGACACAUUUUUUUUACUGAGGCUGGUUACCCAUUUGGCAUCAACAUAAUCAGCAGAGGCAAGUGAACUCUGAG